This 520-nucleotide long non-coding RNA is filed under the name Cyanistes caeruleus (blue tit). RNAcentral describes it as "lncRNA (ENSCCEG00000016618.1)". Lineage: Eukaryota; Metazoa; Chordata; Aves; Passeriformes; Paridae. The record is from RNAcentral.
UUCAUGGUGCUGCUCAUGGAAGCUCGAGGAAAUGUGGAACAGCAGGACCCAAGGGAUGGGUGUGUUUGGCACCACAUUGAGGAUACAUUCAGUGUCUUAUUGGGAGUCCUGAAAAUUUUCUUAAGUUGUCAUCAGGAAAAUAAUUGUCUGGCUACUAAUAAUUUCCUGCUGUGGGGAAGCUGACUGUGGAAAGAAGGUCUCUAUUGCUUGUGUUGCUGAAUUGCAUGUGGUUUGAAAAGAGGCUUUAGGCCAAAAACAUCUGUGUGAUGGAAAGAGAUCCUUUCUGAGCAAAGCGUGGGAACUUUGGCAAAUCCAGUACAAUUCAAAGGAAUGAAUCUUGUAAUUUUUUGAACUGAAACAGAAAAUACAGCAUCUUUCAGAUGGAAAGAUGUUUUCUCCUAUUAGUUACUAACAGUUCCACCAGCCUGUGGUGCAGAUGCUCACCCAUGUAUUUACACAAGCUCCAUAAAACAGGAUGUUCAGAAAUAAAGAGGGAAAUGUGAAAUAACUAUGAAUAUGC